GGGCUUCCGUCAUUUUCACCUCAAAUUAAAAGUCAAAAUCUACAGCUUUGGCUUCAUUGACUCUCCGUCAAAGAAGUCGAGAGCUUCGACGAAUCUUCGGCGCCAGAAUUGGACAAAAUCAAAAUUGGUGAGGCGAAAUUAGAUCUAAAAUCGGAUAAUGUUGGGGACAGGAGGAGGAAGAGCGGUGCGAGCAGGAACUUGCCGGAG
Molecule: long non-coding RNA, 207 nt
Filed under: Salvia miltiorrhiza (redroot sage)
Lineage: Eukaryota; Viridiplantae; Streptophyta; Magnoliopsida; Lamiales; Lamiaceae
Description: long non-coding RNA (SMIL_LNC013739)
Source: RNAcentral